CGAACGCUGGCGGCAGGCCUAACACAUGCAAGUCGAACGAGAAGCUACCUUCGGGUAGUGGACAGUGGCGGACGGGUGAGUAACGCGUGGGAAUUUGCCUUGGAGUGGGGGACAACCGCUGGAAACGGCGGCUAAUACCGCAUACGCCCUACGGGGGAAAGAUUUAUCGCUCUAAGAGAAGCCCGCGUCUGAUUAGCUAGUUGGUGAGGUAACGGCUCACCAAGGCGACGAUCAGUAGCUGGUCUGAGAGGAUGAUCAGCCACACUGGGACUGAGACACGGCCCAG
This 286-nucleotide ribosomal RNA is filed under the name uncultured Magnetospira sp. Its description in RNAcentral is "partial 16S ribosomal RNA". It matches the Rfam family "Bacterial small subunit ribosomal RNA", at positions 30 to 334 of the family's 1533-position model. The record is from RNAcentral. Lineage: Bacteria; Pseudomonadati; Pseudomonadota; Alphaproteobacteria; Rhodospirillales; Thalassospiraceae.